CAUAACAAUCGAGGACGUGUGCGUGUGUUGAGGAGUCUGUACCUGCGUGUGCAUCUUUAUCUCAGAAGCCUGGAGGCUGUUUCAGUGCAAGAUGAAUAUGACCGUUAGACGCAGAAGACAAGCUGGCUACAGCAUAACGAAUGCCGGGAUGGCGAGAGAGAGAAGCGGAUUUCCCAGAAAACGAGCAACUGCUAAUCGCGCCGUCACACGAUAAUCACCUCCUCUGGCCUCCUCCUUCGGGCAGGCAGAUCUGAUGAAUGCAUUAGUUGCCUGCCCUUGUCCUAAAGAGGAAUAUCCGUUUCCUUCCGACCUCCCUGCCCUGCCCUCCCCAGCAACCUUUAUUACAAACUUUCGGAAUGCGCAUCGGAGCGAUGACACAUUCUGGGAGAAGCAAAGUGAGGAUGCGAAGUAUACGAGUUUUGAAGAGUGGAUGUAAAUUGGUGAAGAAUUAAGAAUCAUUGGGAAAGCAGCCCUGGGAGUGUUAAGAAUAAGAGGUGGGGUGGGUGAAGAAGAAGACAGGUGAUAACAACGACAAAGACAUGAAAAAUGAGAUCAAAGACAAAAGUUGUUUGCUUACCGAACGUAAUCUUUAUGGUGAAGCUGGAGACAUCCAGGAAAUUUUUAUCUUUUGAAAUUUGUUACAUAUUAAAGAAUGAAACAGA
Long non-coding RNA from Pomacea canaliculata, 662 nucleotides. RefSeq lists it as uncharacterized. The record is from RefSeq and is a predicted model, not a curated record. Lineage: Eukaryota; Metazoa; Mollusca; Gastropoda; Architaenioglossa; Ampullariidae. The transcript is spliced from 2 exons.